UACUAGAGUAGCACUUGCAUAUCAAUAAGCGGAGGAAAAGAAACUAACAAGGAUUCCCCUAGUAACGGCGAGUGAAGCGGGAAGAGCUCAAAUUUGAAAUCUUAAAGGGUUUCCCUUUACGAAUUGUAGUUUAAAGAAGUGUUUUCUGUUGAGGUUUUGGUAAAAGUUCUUUGGAAUAGGACAUCAUAGAGGGUGAGAAUCCCGUAUUUGACCUUUACUUUCAACUUUGUGAUACACUUUCAAAGAGUCGGAUUGUUUGGGAAUGCAGUCCAAAAUGGGUGGUAAAUUUCAUCUAAAGCCUAAAUAUUGGCGAGAGACCGAUAGCGAACAAGUACCGUGAGGGAAAGAUGAAAAGAACUUUGAAAAGAGAGUUAAACAGUACGUGAAAUUGUCAAAAGGGAAGCGUUUGACACCAGUGUUGUUUUUCUGAAAAUCAAUUAAAGAACUGUUUAUGCUAAGCUGUUUAGACUUAUAUCAGCUAUCUGUUUAGUUUUGAGCUUUUCUUUAAUGCACUUUUCAGUUAACAAGUCAACAUCAAUUUCUUUUGCUGUAAAAAAGCUUGAGGAAGGUGGCUUGAGAUUCGUCUUAAGUGUUUAUAGCCUCUUGCCUAUGCAGUCGGAGAGAUUGAGGUCUGCAGCGUAGAUCCUUCGGGGCUAAAUGCAUUUGUGCUAAGUUAUAGCAUUUUAUAGACAACUUGUUGACUAUGAUUUGUCUUGUAGCUUACUCGCUUAUGUUAAUUUACCUACGCUUAGGAUGUUGAGUAGCGACAUACGCAC
Molecule: ribosomal RNA, 776 nt
Filed under: uncultured Neocallimastigales
Lineage: Eukaryota; Fungi; Neocallimastigomycota; Neocallimastigomycetes; Neocallimastigales
Description: partial large subunit ribosomal RNA
Rfam family: Eukaryotic large subunit ribosomal RNA
Source: RNAcentral